UACAGAGGGUGCAAGCGUUAUCCGGAAUUAUUGGGCGUAAAGCGUUUGUAGGUGGCUUUUUAAGUCCGCCGUCAAAUCCCAGGGCUCAACUCUGGACAGGCGGUGGAAACUAGCAAGCUGGAGUACGGUAGGGGCGGAGGGAAUUUCCGGUGGAGCGGUGAAAUGCGUAGAGAUCGGGAAGAACACCAACGGCGAAAGCACUCUGCUGGGCCGACACUGACACUGAGAGACGAAAGCUAGGGGAGCGAAUGGG
Molecule: ribosomal RNA, 253 nt
Filed under: uncultured bacterium
Lineage: Bacteria
Description: partial 16S ribosomal RNA
Rfam family: Bacterial small subunit ribosomal RNA
Source: RNAcentral